UACGUAGGGUGCGAGCGUUAAUCGGAAUUACUGGGCGUAAAGCGUGCGCAGGCGGUUUUGUAAGCCAGAUGUGAAAUCCCCGGGCUUAACCUGGGAAUGGCAUUUGGGACUGCAAGGCUUGAGUGCGGCAGAGGAGACUAGAAUUCCUGGUGUAGCAGUGAAAUGCGUAGAUAUCAGGAGGAAUACCGAUGGCGAAGGCGACUACCUGGCCUGUUCUUGACGCUGAGGCACGAAAGUGUGGGGAGCAAACAGG
This 253-nucleotide ribosomal RNA is filed under the name uncultured bacterium. RNAcentral's name for it is "partial 16S ribosomal RNA". It matches the Rfam family "Bacterial small subunit ribosomal RNA", at positions 524 to 776 of the family's 1533-position model. The record is from RNAcentral.